GACGAACGCUGGCGGCGUGCUUAACACAUGCAAGUCGAACGGAAAGGCCCUGCUUGCAGGGUCCUCGAGUGGCGAACGGGUGAGUAACACGUGGGUGAUCCGCCCUGCACUUCGGGAUAAGCCUGGGAAACUGGGUCUAAUACCGGAUAGGAGCCAUUUUCAGCGUGAUGGUUGGAAAGAUUUUUCGGUGUUGGAUGAGCUGGCGGCCUAUCAGCUUGUUGGUGGGGUGAUGGCCUACCAAGGCGGCGACGGGUAGCCGGCCUGAGGGAGUGGACGGCCACAUUGGGACUGAGAUGCGGCCCAGGCUCCUACGGGAGGCAGAAGUGGGGAAUAUUGCACAAUGGGCGCAAGCCUGGUGCAGCGGGGCCGCGGGGGGGAUAACGGCCUUCGGGUUGUAGACUACUUUCGCGAGGGACGAAGCUUUUUGUGACGGUACCUAGAUAAGAAGCACCGGCUAACUACGUG
This 465-nucleotide ribosomal RNA is filed under the name uncultured bacterium. Its description in RNAcentral is "partial 16S ribosomal RNA". It matches the Rfam family "Bacterial small subunit ribosomal RNA", at positions 28 to 507 of the family's 1533-position model. The record is from RNAcentral.